Molecule: ribosomal RNA, 585 nt
Filed under: uncultured Alphaproteobacteria bacterium
Lineage: Bacteria; Pseudomonadati; Pseudomonadota; Alphaproteobacteria
Description: bacterial SSU rRNA
Rfam family: Bacterial small subunit ribosomal RNA
Source: RNAcentral
AGAGUUUGAUCAUGGCUCAGAACGAACGCUGGCGGCAUGCCUAACACAUGCAAGUCGAACGCUAUUUAUAGAGUGGCGCACGGGUGAGUAACGCGUGGGAACCUGCCUUUUUCUGCGGGAUAACGGUUGGAAACGACCGCUAAUACCGCAUACGCCCUACGGGGGAAAGGUCCGCCGGAGAAAGAGGGGCCCGCGUCUGAUUAGCUAGUUGGUAGGGUAAUGGCCUACCAAGGCGACGAUCAGUAGCUGGUCUGAGAGGAUGAUCAGCCACACUGGGACUGAGACACGGCCCAGACUCCUACGGGAGGCAGCAGUGGGGAAUAUUGGACAAUGGGGGCAACCCUGAUCCAGCAAUGCCGCGUGUGUGAUGAAGGCCUUAGGGUUGUAAAGCACUUUCACUGGUGAAGAUGAUGACGGUAACCAGAGAAGAAGCCCCGGCUAACUUCGUGCCAGCAGCCGCGGUAAUACGAAGGGGGCGAGCGUUGUUCGGAAUUACUGGGCGUAAAGGGCGCGUAGGCGGUCUUUUAAGUUAGGCGUGAAAGCCCCGGGCUCAACCUGGGAACUGCGCUUAAUACUGGAAGACUA